CAUGUACUCAUUCCGUCCGAAAAUACUUGUCCUAGAAAUAGAUGUAAUUAGACUCAAUUUAGUUAUAGAUACAUUCAUUUUAUACAUUUCUAGGACAAGUAUUUCCGGACGAAGGAGGAAGUAAUAA
This 127-nucleotide microRNA precursor is filed under the name Hordeum vulgare. RNAcentral describes it as "microRNA MIR1122". It matches the Rfam family "MIR1120/MIR1122 microRNA precursor family". The record is from RNAcentral. Lineage: Eukaryota; Viridiplantae; Streptophyta; Magnoliopsida; Poales; Poaceae.